RNAcentral lists this ribosomal RNA (433 nucleotides) under uncultured bacterium. Its description in RNAcentral is "partial 16S ribosomal RNA". It matches the Rfam family "Bacterial small subunit ribosomal RNA", at positions 29 to 507 of the family's 1533-position model. The record is from RNAcentral.
AACGAACGCUGGCGGCAGGCCUAACACAUGCAAGUCGAGCGCGCCCUUCGGGGUGAGCGGCGGACGGGUGAGUAACGCGUGGGAACGUGCCCUUUUCUACGGAAUAGCCUCGUGAAACUGAGAGUAAUACCGUAUACGCCCUUUGGGGGAAAGAUUUAUCGGAAAAGGAUCGGCCCGCGUUGGAUUAGGUAGUUGGUGGGGUAAUGGCCUACCAAGCCGACGAUCCAUAGCUGGUUUGAGAGGAUGAUCAGCCACACUGGGACUGAGACACGGCCCAGACUCCUACGGGAAGCAGCAGUGGGUAAUCUUAGACAAUGGGGGCAACCCUGAUCUAGCCAUGCCGCGUGAGUGAUGAAGGCCUUAGGGUUGUAAAGCUCUUUCAGCUGGGAAGAUAAUGACGGUACCAGCAGAAGAAGCCCCGGCUAACUCCGUG